Long non-coding RNA from Folsomia candida, 379 nucleotides. RefSeq lists it as uncharacterized. The record is from RefSeq and is a predicted model, not a curated record. The transcript has 3 exons. Lineage: Eukaryota; Metazoa; Arthropoda; Collembola; Entomobryomorpha; Isotomidae.
UCGAAAUAAUUUUUUAAUAAAUUAAAAGUUAAGUUAAACAACAGUUCAAUUAAUUAUUUGCAGGAAACGGAGGUUGGGGAGGUAUGUAAUCUUUUUUUAACCGAUCGAAAUCGAAAUUAAUAUUUCGAAUUAUUAAAGGAUGGGGUGGGGGAGGACAUGGAGGUGGUUACGGAGGGGGUGGCCACGGUGGGGGUCAUGGCGGUGGUGGUUAUGGAGGAUGGAGGAGAAAGUAGUCUUUGUUCUUCUAACUUGUUAUACAUUUCCUCUGCCUCAUCAUUCGCUUCGAAUGUUUGAUGGCCUUACAACUAUUAGUGCCUUACUCUAAUGUGCGUUCAAUUGUACAAUUUUUGAAUAAAGCUAUUUUCUCUGCAAAUUUGUA